Molecule: long non-coding RNA, 448 nt
Filed under: Elaeis guineensis (African oil palm)
Lineage: Eukaryota; Viridiplantae; Streptophyta; Magnoliopsida; Arecales; Arecaceae
Description: long non-coding RNA (EGUI_LNC045589)
Source: RNAcentral
UCUCUUCCUGAUACUUCUUACAUUGAACCCUUGCUUAUUUUUGGGCGAACUAUGAUGUGACUAAUAACAAAAUAGCAAUAGGAUAUAUUGGCAUCUUCAUUGUUUCUGAAGUCUGAACUUAAAACACGUGACAUUAAAAAUUAGAACAGUACUUCUAACGUUGAACUCUUACUUUGUUUUGGGAGAACUAUGAUAUGAAUAAUAACAGAACAGCAAUAGGAUAUAUUGGCAUCUUCAUUGUUUCUGUAGUCUGAUUUAUAAUAGGUGAUAUUAAAGAGUUAUCAGAAGAGUUGCUUCGAGAGCACGAUGAGUCUUACAUAGAUAAUGAACUGCAAUUCUUAUUUAAGGAGAAUGCAUGAGUAAGAACCAUGUUAUUAGAUUAAUAAUCAUCAAAAUAAAUGGCAAGUUAGCUUAAUGUCCUGCUUACCUAAUAUCACUCCCUCUGUGG